This 467-nucleotide ribosomal RNA is filed under the name uncultured bacterium. Its description in RNAcentral is "partial 16S ribosomal RNA". It matches the Rfam family "Bacterial small subunit ribosomal RNA", at positions 28 to 507 of the family's 1533-position model. The record is from RNAcentral.
GAUGAACGCUGACAGAAUGCUUAACACAUGCAAGUCCACUUGAAUUUGGGUUUUUACCUUAGGUUUGGGUGGCGGACGGGUGAGUAACGCGUAAAGAACUUGCCUCACAGCUAGGGACAACAUUUGGAAACGAAUGCUAAUACCUAAUAUUAUGAUAAUAGGGCAUCCUAUAAUUAUGAAAGCUAUAAGCGCUGUGAGAGAGCUUUGCGUCCCAUUAGCUAGUUGGAGAGGUAACGGCUCACCAAGGCGAUGAUGGGUAGCCGGCCUGAGAGGGUGAUCGGCCACAAGGGGACUGAGACACGGCCCUUACUCCUACGGGAGGCAGCAGUGGGGAAUAUUGGACAAUGGACCGAGAGUCUGAUCCAGCAAUUCUGUGUGCACGAUGAAGUUUUUCGGAAUGUAAAGUGCUUUCAGUUGGGAAGAAACAAAUGACGGUACCAACAGAAGAAGAGACGGCUAAAUACGUG